RNAcentral lists this long non-coding RNA (1132 nucleotides) under Homo sapiens (human). RNAcentral's name for it is "long non-coding RNA NONHSAT152533.1". Lineage: Eukaryota; Metazoa; Chordata; Mammalia; Primates; Hominidae. The record is from RNAcentral.
GAGGAAGACUGCCCUUGAUAGGGACUAUACCAAGUUCUUCUUUGCAGCAAAACCUCAGGGUUUUGAGUCUCGUAUUCACAUCUUUUUACUAAGAAGGGCUCCUCCAGACUCCUGGUGUAUAUUUGUUGGAGGCCUUAAAUUUAUUCCUAAUUAAAUGGGGAGACAAGUCUUUCCAGAGGAACUUCUACUUUACUUUUUACAAUUCCUCCUCUUAUUUCAUAAUUCUUCUUCAAACUUGUUUAAUAUGUUUUGACUUAAUUGCUUUGUUUGUCCUUUUAAGAGAAGUAAUUUUUCUGAAUAAGGUGGAGGAGAGUUAGGAGUUAACUCUGUAAGCAUGGCAGAGACAGGUUUUUGUGUAAAACUUCGACGGUAGGGAAUAAUAUAACAGCCUACAAGAAUAAGUACACCAAUAACAACAGCAAAUGAGGAGAAGAACAAAAAUUGUAAACUGCAGUUGGAGGACCAAGGCUGAACAGAAGGAAUUUGUCCUUGAAGAAUGGGAAAUUUCAUGGGCUACUCUAUCUGGGGAGCUUAUGAAAACUGUGGAUUUCAGCAGAGAUUUCCAUUCGCCUUUUUUUUUUUCUUUAGGAGGUAGUGACUGACAAGAUAAUAAAGCCCAAAGCAUUAUGCUGACUAGGACCAUUGAAGUUGGCAAAAAAAGGCCACAACAACAGCAUGGAACCUAGGGGCUGGAUGAGACCAAUGCACGCGAGGGUUGACUUGUCCAGCUGUUCGUGGCAGUACAUUGCGGAGCAUAGAACGAAACCGGGUGUGGAACACUGAGUCCCAAGGAUAGCCAUCUUCAGAGAUACGGCUCAUGACCCAGAUUUUCUAUGAUGCCACAAUGCGCUACCAACCAAGGUACAUGGUAAGCAGAGAGCAUCACACCUGAGCAGCAUUCUUACUCAGCUCAACAGCAAUAUCUGAGCCUGAGUUUCCCAUUCCAAUCACCAGGAUGCGUUUUCCCUCAAAUCCAUCUGGAUGCUUGUAUUGGCGGCUAUGGAAAUAUUGGCCUUUGAACCUCUCCAUACCUUCAGGGGGAAGAAGAGAGAAGUCUGUGAGCUCCAGAGCAACUAUGUCAAGCUAAUUUCAAUAAAACUGCAUUGCCAGCUUUUCCUUUCUGGAGUUAAUA